CAAGAGGACCUGGUGGCUAUUUGCAGAGAGAAAUCUGUCCCAUCCAGAUAUUGGUAGCCUGGCCCUGCUGCUCACCUCCCACUGCCCUGUGACCUUGGGAGCCUUGGAUCUCCACCUAGGAUGAACUCCAAUUCCAGAUUGAAGCCAUCCAUAGCAGGGGAUACGGAAAGGGAGACUGUAAAACCACCAGCAAUCUAGGCAGAGGUCAAAGAAGCUUUGAGGAAGCAAGGAGGUUGAGAGCAGAGUUGCACCAGGCCGUUCAGAAAGCACAUCUUGAAGAGAUCUCCUGGCUCUAGAGGAAGUAAGGCAUGGAACCAGAGAUAACCUGGGAACUUGGGAACUUGCUGGUGUUUCAGUCCUCAGAGAGCUGAAGGAAAUAUCUGGGUACCCAGAUGUGGUGGUGGACCCACUGGACUUCCCAAUGCAUGCACCCUGAUUGCAAUUGAUAGCAUAUCAACAUGGAAUCUUCGUAAUUUUUAAUAAAUAUAUUGGCUCAUUUAUUCACUC
This 507-nucleotide long non-coding RNA is filed under the name Rattus norvegicus (Norway rat). RNAcentral's name for it is "long non-coding RNA NONRATT015039". Lineage: Eukaryota; Metazoa; Chordata; Mammalia; Rodentia; Muridae. The record is from RNAcentral.